AACACUGUUAACCUGCGGUACCUGCGGAGGGAUCGUUACAGAGUUGCAAAACUCCCUAAACCAUUGUGAACGUUACCUAAACCGUUGCUUCGGCGGGCGGCCCGGGUCCUUCCCGGCGCCCAUCGGCCCUCGCGGGCGCCCGCCGGAGGUAAACCAAACUAUUGCAUUGUAUGGCCUCUCUGAGUCUUCUGUACUGAAUAAGUCAAAACUUUUAACAACGGAUCUCAGAUCGGAAGAGCA
This 240-nucleotide unclassified non-coding RNA is filed under the name soil metagenome. RNAcentral describes it as "partial contains 5.8S ribosomal RNA, internal transcribed spacer 2, and large subunit ribosomal RNA". The record is from RNAcentral.